AAAAAAAAAACCAACAACAACAACAACAAAACUAUUCCAAAUGGUUUUCGGUGACAUUUAUUAGUAAACACAUAUUUCUGAAUCUAAUCAGCUAAAGAAUGUAUUUGAACUUCAUGUAAACAAUUUAAACUAAAAUAUUAUGUCCACAUCCUGCUGUUUGAAGUACUUCUCCCCACUUGCAACAUGACUGAAUUUGGUCUGUAUAGGCAUCUGUUCCAAAAGAUUAUUGACUUAGUCAUGCUUUGGAAAUUAUUUUCCUACAAGUUUGAUAAAAUUUUUAUGCAUGUAUAUGGAGACAAUUCUCUCUCCCUUUUUUUUUCCCCCUUCUUUGGUGAGUGGGUGCUUGGGUUGGGGAGAGAUGUGGAAAUGGAUUGACUAUCAGAAUGUAGAAUCAUAUUACUUACUGAAGAAAUGGCGAUAUUGUUCUUUCUAUUCUUGCUUAGAAUAGGUCGUUAAAUCAUUAUAUUUCCAGUAUUCGUGAUGAUGCAUUCCUAUUCUAGUUAAGUAUGCCAGGGACAUUACCUAUUCUGAAUCUCUUGAUAUUAUAUCUUGCCAUCGAAUUGCAACACUAAUUUUUGAAAAUUUUUGUCAUGCAGUUGGAUAGGUGCUGCUAAAUUCCUUACAGGGGCAUCAUCUGUUGGGAGCAUAGCCAUUCCUAUUAUCCUUAGGCAUGCUCAUAUGAUUGAAACAGGGGCUAUGCUGAUCGAGUUCACAUCAUUCUUCAUAUUUGUUUGCACGGUCAUGUGUUUUCACCGUGCUAGUCUAGAGGAUGAUUGGUGACUGAAGCAUUACUUGCUAACUUCUGAUGUGAUUUGCUUGCUUUUGUUGAUCAUAUAAGUUAUAUAUGACCAAUUAGUGUAUUAUACAUGGGAAAAGACCAUCUUGUAAAUUCCUUUUGUGAAUAUCAUCAAAAGGGAGCAUGAAUAUACAGUAUUUUGCUUUGCUUGACUGGAUAUAGCUUGUUACUAAUACUUAACUGGAGGAUACUUAUAUCCUGUUUGAUUUGUAAUGUUUUGGAAAGUGCUCCUGAUUUUUAUUUUAAAUUCUUGCUGCCAAGUUCAUUUGUCUGUCUGAUCUUACCUUGGUAGUUUGGUUUCAGUUGCUAAAUCUCUUAUUCUCAGAGCUACAGAUUAUCUUUCACAUUUGUUCCUUGUUGAGUGAAUCAGUCGGCCCACACUAUAACAGGGGCUGUGAAUCAGUCGGCCCACACUAUAACAGGGGCU
This 1223-nucleotide unclassified non-coding RNA is filed under the name Hevea brasiliensis (rubber tree). Lineage: Eukaryota; Viridiplantae; Streptophyta; Magnoliopsida; Malpighiales; Euphorbiaceae. The record is from RNAcentral.